UCAACCCUAACUCAGAUAUACCUCGCAGACCCAUAUAAAAUAGAAUUAAUUUCAUGCAUGUCUCUACAAGUAUAGUGAAUUAUAAAUAGAGGCAAUUACUUAUAUAUUCCUGAAAAAUUUCGAUUUUUCGAUUUACCCUUUUUAGAAGGCUAAUAUUGAAAAUAACUUUCUACGUUCCAACCUAUUUCUAAUAUACUCCUACUAGAGUUAAAAUCUAUUAAUUAACUCUAUUAUCUCUGUAAAAUUACUAUUUUGCCAUUUCAAAUAUAUCCUUCCACCAUCACUGACAUUCUUAUUUAUUUGCCCUUAAAGUCAGGGGCACAAAAAGUAUUUUGAGCUUUAGUCUUUUCAAAUAUAUCCCUCUACGGUCACUAAUAUUUCUUAUUUGCCCUUAAGUCAAGGGCAAAAUUGGUAUUUUAAUUUUUUUAACUGUGGUAGAUAUUUAACUCACGUUUAACCUAAGUGAACUUAACAGGAGAUAACUGCGGAGGUAUUUUGCAAUAACGGUAGAAUAUAUGAGGGGUAUUUUAUAAAAAAAAAAAAGGAAUAAAUCGGAUAUUUUAAAACAUAUAAGGGGUAUAUAGGUAAUUAUCCCUUAUAAAUAUAUUCCUACAAAGUUCAUUUUUUAUUUGUUGUCUCUGUAAAAGUUCUGUGGUUUCAAAUAUACCCCUACCGUUAUGAUUCAUUAGAAAAAAUUAGUUAAUCACAGGUAAAAUACUUAACGUUAAUUAGUUAAUGAGGUGAAUUGACUUUUUAGUUUUCUUUAAUCAAUAGUUGGGACUUUUGGAGGGUCAUAUUUGUGAUGGCAAAAUAGUCAUUUCACUUAUAAAAUAAAUAGUAUUUUAACGGUAACAAAUCAAAUGAAUAUAUUUGAAAAUAUUAGGAUUUUUACAGUGAUAAUAUAUAAAAGUUGAACUUUGUAGGAAUAUAUUUGUAAUUCACUAUGUUUAUAGAGAUAUGUAUGAAAUUAAUCCUAUAAAAUAUAUGUAAAUCUUUA
This 997-nucleotide long non-coding RNA is filed under the name Ananas comosus (pineapple). Its description in RNAcentral is "long non-coding RNA (ACOM_LNC036499)". The record is from RNAcentral. Lineage: Eukaryota; Viridiplantae; Streptophyta; Magnoliopsida; Poales; Bromeliaceae.